RNAcentral lists this transfer RNA (66 nucleotides) under Danionella translucida. It matches the Rfam family "tRNA". Rfam says of the family: Transfer RNA (tRNA) molecules are approximately 80 nucleotides in length. Their secondary structure includes four short double-helical elements and three loops (D, anti-codon, and T loops). RNAcentral also lists the same sequence under 1 other name. Lineage: Eukaryota; Metazoa; Chordata; Actinopteri; Cypriniformes; Danionidae. The record is from Rfam by way of RNAcentral.
GCCUGGCUAGCUCAGUCGGUAGAGCAUGAGACUCUUGGGUAGUGGGUUCGAGGCCCACGUUGGGCG